GCUGUGGCUCAGGGGCAGAACAUCUGCUUGCCAUGUAGAAGGCCUCAGGUUCAAUCCCCGGCAUCUCCA
RNAcentral lists this transfer RNA (69 nucleotides) under Sphaerodactylus townsendi. Its description in RNAcentral is "tRNA-Gly". It matches the Rfam family "tRNA". From Rfam's summary of the family: Transfer RNA (tRNA) molecules are approximately 80 nucleotides in length. Their secondary structure includes four short double-helical elements and three loops (D, anti-codon, and T loops). The record is from RNAcentral. Lineage: Eukaryota; Metazoa; Chordata; Lepidosauria; Squamata; Sphaerodactylidae.